UUUUUCUUUUUGAAAGCUCACUAGAUUUCUAGCCUUUUUUUUUUACUUUCAUUUGUGUUCUAUUUUGUUUUUUUGCUUCGUUAAUGUUUUUGGAGCCAUAUAUCCUUGUUAGUGUCUAAAAAUGACUUUCUAGCCAUGGAAAACUAAAAACUAGCCAUUGGAGAGCUUCUGUGUAAAACUAUAACGUCUUGAAAAACUAAUUGUUGGAACUGUCAGUUGUAGUAGAGUCGAUUCGAACC
RNAcentral lists this long non-coding RNA (239 nucleotides) under Elaeis guineensis (African oil palm). Its description in RNAcentral is "long non-coding RNA (EGUI_LNC018847)". Lineage: Eukaryota; Viridiplantae; Streptophyta; Magnoliopsida; Arecales; Arecaceae. The record is from RNAcentral.